This 536-nucleotide ribosomal RNA is filed under the name uncultured bacterium. RNAcentral describes it as "bacterial SSU rRNA". It matches the Rfam family "Bacterial small subunit ribosomal RNA", at positions 969 to 1509 of the family's 1533-position model. The record is from RNAcentral.
CCUUACCUACCCUUGACAUGUCUAGAAUUUUGCAGAGAUGUGAAAGUGCUCGAAAGAGAACUAGAACACAGGUGCUGCAUGGCCGUCGUCAGCUCGUGUCGUGAGAUGUUGGGUUAAGUCCCGCAACGAGCGCAACCCUUGUCAUUAGUUGCUACGAAAGGGCACUCUAAUGAGACUGCCGGUGACAAACCGGAGGAAGGUGGGGAUGACGUCAGGUCCUCAUGGCCCUUAUGGGUAGGGCUACACACGUCAUACAAUGGCCGGUACAGAGGGCUGCCAACCCGCGAGGGGGAGCCAAUCCCAGAAAACCGGUCGUAGUCCGGAUCGCAGUCUGCAACUCGACUGCGUGAAGUCGGAAUCGCUAGUAAUCGCGGAUCAGCUUGCCGCGGUGAAUACGUUCCCGGGUCUUGUACACACCGCCCGUCACACCAUGGGAGCGGGUUCUGCCAGAAGUAGUUAGCCUAACCGCAAGGAGGGCGAUUACCACGGCAGGGUUCGUGACUGGGGUGAAGUCGUAACAAGGUAGGCGUAGUGCU